Molecule: ribosomal RNA, 284 nt
Filed under: uncultured bacterium
Lineage: Bacteria
Description: partial 16S ribosomal RNA
Rfam family: Bacterial small subunit ribosomal RNA
Source: RNAcentral
AACCUUCCCAAAAUUGGUGAAUAGCCUUCCGAAAGGAAGAUUAAUACACCGUAACAUAAUGAUGUGGCAUCACAUUAUUAUUAUAGCUCCGGCGAUUUUGGAUGGGCGUGCGCCUGAUUAGGUAGUUGGUGUGGGUAACGGCCUACCAAGCCUUCGAUCAGUAACUGGUGUGAGAGCACGACCAGUCACACGGGCACUGAGACACGGGCCCGACUCCUACGGGAGGCAGCAGUAAGGAAUAUUGGUCAAUGGACGCAAGUCUGAACCAGCCAUGCCGCGUGAAG